Molecule: transfer RNA, 132 nt
Organism: Macrophomina phaseolina MS6
Lineage: Eukaryota; Fungi; Ascomycota; Dothideomycetes; Botryosphaeriales; Botryosphaeriaceae
Rfam family: tRNA
About the family: Transfer RNA (tRNA) molecules are approximately 80 nucleotides in length. Their secondary structure includes four short double-helical elements and three loops (D, anti-codon, and T loops). Further hydrogen bonds mediate the characteristic L-shaped molecular structure. tRNAs have two regions of fundamental functional importance: the anti-codon, which is responsible for specific mRNA codon recognition, and the 3' end, to which the tRNAs corresponding amino acid is attached (by aminoacyl-tRNA synthetases). tRNAs cope with the degeneracy of the genetic code in two manners: having more than one tRNA (with a specific anti-codon) for a particular amino acid; and 'wobble' base-pairing, i.e. permitting non-standard base-pairing at the 3rd anti-codon position.
Source: Rfam
GCGUUGGUGGUUUAGUGGUAAAAUUCAUCGUUGCCAAGACAAGUUGAUAUAUCUGGACGGCUCCUCUUAGGAACCAUCUCGAGCGUUAACUAUAGUUUCGAUGAGCCCCGGGUUCGAUUCCCGGCCGACGCA